GUUCUCAAUCCCAGCAUGUGUGACAGGACACCAAGUAAACCUAGACUAUCCCUAACAGGUGUUUGUCCAACCUGUUCCUAAAAACUUCCAGUGAUGGGGAUUCCACAACCUACCCUGGAGGCCUAUUCCAGAGUUCAACUACCCUUAGGGUUAGAAAAUUUUCCCUAAUAUUUAACCUACAUCACUCUUGCUGCAAAUUAAGCCUAUUACUUCUUGUCCUAACCUCAGAGUACAUGGAGAACACUUGAUCGGCAUCUUCAUUAUAAAAGCCCUUAACGUAUUUAAAGACUUAUCAGGUUCCCCCCUCAGUUUUCUUUUCUGAAGACUAAACAUGCCCAGUUUUUUUCCUCCACAAACCUAGGUUAGGUUUGCUAAAGCUUAUAUAAUUUUUGUU
This is a long non-coding RNA of Dermochelys coriacea (leatherback sea turtle), 394 nucleotides long. RefSeq lists it as uncharacterized. The transcript is spliced from 3 exons. NCBI's taxonomy places the organism in Eukaryota, Metazoa, Chordata, Testudines, Dermochelyidae. The record is from RefSeq and is a predicted model, not a curated record.